CCUACGGGUGGCAGCAGUGGGGAAUAUUGCACAAUGGGGGAAACUCUGAUGCAGCGACGCCGCGUGAGUGAAGAAGUAAUUCUUUAUGUAAAGCUCUAUCAGCAGGGAAGAAAAUGACGGUACCUGAGUAAGAAUCCCCGGCUAACUACGUGCCAGCAGCCGCGGUAAUACGUAGGGGGCAAGCGUUAUCCGGAUUUACUGGGUGUAACGGGAGCGUAGACGGCAGUGCAAGUCUGGAGUGAAAGGCGGGGGCUCAACCCCCGGACUGCUCUGGAAACUGCAGGGCUGGAGGGCGGGAGGGGCAGGCGGAAUUCCUGGUGUAGCGGUGAAAUGCGUAGAUAUCAGGAGGAACACCGGCGGCGAAGGCGGCCUGCUGGACUGCGACUGACGUUGAGGCUCGAAAGCGUGGGGAGCGAACAGGAUUAGAUACCCGGGUAGUC
Molecule: ribosomal RNA, 440 nt
Filed under: uncultured bacterium
Lineage: Bacteria
Description: partial 16S ribosomal RNA
Rfam family: Bacterial small subunit ribosomal RNA
Source: RNAcentral